UUGGCCUCGAUCUUAAUCUUGCCUGCCGUUAAUGAUGUCACGCGGCUGUGUGUGUUGCUUGGAGUUUGCCUGGUAUAUUUUAGCUUGAUUUUUCGGAGUCUUUUUUUUCUUAUAAACUUUAUUUUGACGUAACUUGAAUCGACCGAGAGGCUGCAGAACUGGUGCUGAGAGUUCCUGGGCACUCCUCUCCCAGCUUCGCCUAAUGAAAGCAUCUUCCCUCAUCAGAGCACAGCCACCCAAGCAGGACGCUGGCAUCGGCACGAUAUCAGCAACGACGCAUAGACCUUAUUCGAAUGCCGCCAGUUUUUCCAAAGCCCCUGCUUUUAGGCACACUCAAGGCUAGGGGCACAGUCUUCCAGAUGGCAAAGUCUGCCCAAGCCUCCCGACACCCACUACGCGGUCCGAGGGCCCCCCGAGCCGCCCUCAGGUUGGACAGUUCGCUGAAGAGACGGAACUCACCGAAACCUGUUGGACUGUUGGUCAGGCUUGUUACGGGGGAGGAUACACAUCAGCGCCAGCCGCGGGGUGGACCGGCAGUGUUCCGAGAACAGAGUUUCUGGUCAUCCUCACUGAGCCCGACGGUGGUCUUGGGGAUCCCUGCCAUCAGUCCUGUGAAACUUGAUCACGUGUAGAGAUUGACGUGACCCUCGCUACAGUCAGGAUCCAGAACUGUCCCAUUUGCCUCCCGAACUCCUUCCUGCUCCCCCUCUUCCAGUCCCGCCCUCCUAACGCUGACCCCUGACAACCUGUCAUCCACUCUGUCACCUUGUCACUUCGAGGAUGUUAGUAUAGUUGGAUUGCAGAGUGAUGUUAGUUGCAGGUGUACAAGACGGUGACUCAGCACGUCUGUACGUCACCCCGUGCGCCUCAUGAGAGCAGGUUGCCUUCAGAGGGCGGGUGAGCCUCAUCCAGUCCCUUAAAGGCUUAAGAGAAGGGCCCGGGAUCCCGGAGGAGGAGGGGAGCCCGUCUCUGCCUGGAGCUGCCCGGGAGACCCCGCCUGCCCGAACACGGGGGACGGGCCAACCCGACAGUCGCGUGAGUCACUUUGUUAAAACAAGUCUCUCUUCCCUCCCCCUCCUGUUGGUUGGGUUUCUCUGGAAAAGGCUAAUAACUGGGGGGCGGGGGCGGGGUUACAGCCGUGGCCUCAUUUCACGAAAGCUGGGGCUCCACGGCUGGGUCUGCGUGGCCGGUUCCUGCCCCCUGUGGGCUCUGCAUUUUGGAGCUGGGCGGGCAGGCCUGUUGUAAGACCGGCCCCCGGGGCUCACGCUCAGGGGGCUGGCAAGCACCCCGGUCCCGGUUCCAGAGGGAAAAGGCCAGGCCUUCGCUGAGGCCACCGGGGCGUGACUCUCUCGCCCCAGAUGCGGUGGGUCGUGAACGAACGGCUGCGUGGGGAUCCCCCCGGGGCCACCCGUAGGAAAACCACUUACCAGGCGCCUGCAGAGCCCUUAACAAAAGGGUACAAAGCCCGCCACUUUACGGUCGGAGACACGAGGCCUCUUCCUCGUGCGGGGGCUGCUGUGGCACAAAUACAUGGGCAGACGUGGUUAAGAAAAAUCACUGUGAUUUAAUAAAUAGCAAGGUGUUGCUGUGCGGUCUCCAGAGCUCAGCCAGAGAGGCUGGCGUAGACGCGGGCCCAGGCUUCCUGCCGGUUUCCCAAGAAGAUCAGGUGAGGGACCUACCGCACGGUGUCCUAAAAGCGUGCCUCGGGAGGGGGGCUGGGGAGGGCCACAGUCACAUAAAAAUAUAGAUUAUUGAGGGGUUGGACGCAGGCGGGGGCCGCUAUGCAUCUUCCUGGUGAACCUGGGCUUUCUCGGCUCUGGAACAGAACUUUUCGCAUAGUUUGAGCAGCUCUGACAAAAUGAACACGGAUGAAGCCAGUGCGGUUAAAAGCAACAAGUCUGCAAAAAGGUGAAAAGAAAAUGGGGGUCAGAGCGCACGGUGCCACCCUGAGGCUCCCUUCCCUACGUCUCGGCUUUGGUCGCAGAGAGCCCAGAGGUGAGGGGCGAGGACCCGGGAGCCGAGGACCAGGACUUCCCCUCCUGGGAGGGACGGAUGUCCGUGCAGCUCCACAGGACCACCCCGUCCUUCCAGGGGGCUCAGGACUGGGGUGGGGGUGCGCUACCCCCUCCGGCAGUAACAGGACCCUCCCCCAUCCAUCCUGAGGGCAGACACCCCCCACCCCGGCCUCGUGCUCCGAGCAGUCGUGUCCAGCACCUCAGACCCGACUGUGUCAUGACCUGUGGCCAUGACCUACGCCGGCCUCCCCACCUGCUGGCUCCCACCACAUAAGUGGCUCGGGUCACUGCUAUUGCUCAGGUACCCUCCUCCCCCCACCCCUCCCCUCCUCCCACUUGUGUGCUCUGUUAGCUUCAGGCAAAGGCGGCCAGUCACCCCAGGCAGCUCACAAAGAAAAGGCUGGAAUCGCGUCCGCCUGGGCGGGGAGGCAGGGGAGCCCCAGGAUUCCACCCCGGGGCAGGUGGGCUCGGGGCCCUGGACGGCCGCGGUCAUUGAAUCAUGUUGUGUUUAGCCCGAGCUGCUGGGUGGCCCGCUCCCUGUCGUGGGGUCAGCGGGUGCCCAAGACCCAUGAGCCCCCUGCCAGCGGGGGCAGAAUGAGCCGGGACUGUCACCCGCCAUGGCACAGCCCCCGGGCCUUGCUGCGUCGCUCUGAGCCGCCAGCCCUGGGACAGGGGGGCCGGGAGGCCGUGUCCCCUUCUGCCCUCGGUGGCCCUCCCGGUGGAGAUGCCUCAUCCUCUGCUUCCCCGUGUACUCCAUGACCCCAUCACAUCGCCCUCCCGCCCCGUGCGGCCGGCCGGGCACACGUAGGGACUUCGCACCUGGAACACCGCAUGUCGGCGCCCAGGCGGCAGGUGCCGGCCUCUGCUGACCCCUCACGUCCCAGCCCACUCACCGAGGGCACCCAGGUUCUCCGUCUGGAAGAUCUUCUGCAGGGGCGGGAUGUAAAUCACGGCCAGCUGGCCCAGAAUGGAGCCCAGCACCGAGUACAGGAACAUGGGGUUCCGCAGAAAGCCGAUCUCAAAUAUCAGCUUGGUCUGUGGGAGGAGAAGGGCACGUGUCAGCCGGGUCACAAGCCACGGCUCAGACGGCAAUGCUUACAGAGGCCUACUCGGGCCGCGGCCGCACCAUUCGUCCCCGAGAGCGCGACUGGGUCCCGCCAGGAAGGGAGUGGAGGGCAGCCCAGGGCUCACCUGAGAGCGGCAGGUCAAGGCGUUGAAGAGGUCGAAGAACACAAAGCAGGACGGGGCUAUAGCUGCAUCCACUGAGUGUCACGGACAGAGGACGCACACCCUCCCUGGUGCUGCUGUAGGGACCUGAGGCAGAUCUCCUCCCGGGCCUGGCCUGGAGCCAAGAAGAUAAAGAGGGUCCCGCUGAUGAUGACAGCAGCCGACAGGAGGAUUUUCAGGAUCAGGGCUCUGCCGAGAAUCGUGUCCUUGACGUUCCGCGGUGGCUGUCGGAGGGCAUCUUUGUCAACCGGCUCUACCCCCAAGCUGCUCGGAACAAGACAGGGGAACCUUGACAUAAACCGCGAGGACACUUAAAGUGCUGAAGCUGUACAGGCUCUCAGGUCAGCCCCGAAGACACAGCAAAGAGGGGGCUUUGGCCAAGUGCCCCCAGGUCGUCGGCAGGAGCUCGGUCUGGUCCCACUCUUAGGGGGACUUCUCCGUCCUUGCUGGAAGCCCGCCCCUCACAUCCUCUGCCCUCGCCCUCCUUCCAGGGUCCCCACCCUCCACCCCACCGGCCUGGGCCCCAGGGGCAGCCACACACCCGUCCCUGAGCACGGCGGAGGAAAACCACCCCCCAGCCGACCACACCACCGUCCUGGAGCCACUCUGGGUCACCCCUCAUGAUCGCACAGCUUCCAUCACAAGGGGACGCCCAGCAGGCUGGAGAAACGGGGUCCAGACGCCGCCCCCCAGGGACCCGCCUUCAGCCGACUGCGCAACAGCGGGACUGGGGCUAGACCAGCGGAAGACGGGACGCGGGGCACCGAGGAGGAAGCCGGCUGCAGAGACGGCUGAGGCCAGCUUGCCUCCUGGCCCUGCUCCCAGCGUGUGAAGAGGGACCUCCCCCUGGGCCCGGAGGGACAAAGCGGGACUCCUGCCCUCAGCGGCGACAACUGUGAUAAUUCAUGGUGACAUAUAUGUAUCACAUUUAUAUCACACACACAUAUAUAACGAACAACAGCACGUACUGUGUGCUCGAACCCAGUGCCUCGCUCCUGGACGUCUGGCUCCCCGACUCCGAAGGUGGUUCUUCCUCCUGCCCGCUCAGCUACCCUCACCCUCCCUUCUCACCCAUCCACCCAGCAACUAACUCGCCGACCGCCUACUGUGUGCCAAGCACCGUCCCGGGAGCCGGGAAACGCUACAAGGAACAGAAACCUUGCCGUAGGGGAAACGGGUCAUAAUCAGAUAAACAAGGACAUACGUAUUUUCUCCUCUAGGGACAAAGACAGCAGGGUAAGGAGGGAGAGCCCGGGGGCUGCUGUUAGAGCGAUCACGGAGGACAUCUCCAAAGUGGGGACGUGAAGAGAGGGACCGAGGCGUGGAGUCACCCGGGGAGCACAUCCCCCCCUCCGCCGCCCGCCCCGGCUGCCCAUGCAGGUGCUUCCCCCCAUGCCCAGGGCAUCCCGCUGGCUGUCUUCCCCACAGUGCGCCACACUCCGGCUGUGCAGGACUCCCGGGGACGGUGUCCCGUACUCGGUGCAAGGCACCCGGGGCGGCAGAGUGGGCGGGCGGCGGAGCCUCGGGGACAGCCCGGCGCCUCACCUCUGCGCCGGUGGCCCGUCCAUGAUGAUGUUGAUCCACAGGAUCUGCAUGGCGUUGAGCGGGCUGGGCAGGUCGCACACGGUGGACAGAGUGAUGAGGCUCAAGGCCGAGAUGCUCCUGCGGGGCACACACCGGACACCGUCGAUGGCUGCACGCCGGACGCACGCGCGGCCCGACGGCCCUCGGAGACGCCGGCCUGGACUUACGUGCUCAGCUGAAACCGCACGAAGUUUUUGAUGUUAUGAAAAAUCCCCUUGCCUUCCUCCACCGCGUUCCUGCAAGAGGACAGAGCGUUUCUUCGCAGAGGGCCCGCUGGGAGCGUCCGGGCACCUCCGGCAGCCGUGGGAGGGAGCGCUGGUGUCACCGGAGGUGGCCCCGCACGCAGGCGCCCCUUCCCCUUCCCCUUCCCCCCGCUGGCGGCUCCAGGACAGAGAGGUACAGGAGGACGGUGGCCUGGCCAGCACCACCCGCCGCGGGGGCCUGGGCCGCAGGCCAUGAUCACCCUCUGGACGAAGACCAUAGAUCAUUCUCCCGCCUGAGCCCAGGGACCCCGCCCUCACCCGGGACUUGGGAACCCAGAGAUGCAGCUGGACGACAGGCACAGCAAGACAGAUCAAACCUGUUAAUUCGCCCCAGGGGUGUGGCGCGGUGGGGAGAGAAUUAGGAGGCUGAGAAGCGUCCUUGGUAUGUUCAGAAAACCGUAAAAGUCCUUUAAAAACCUUGAUCUUGAGUCACGAAUGCAGAAAACUGCCUAACCCUUUUUUUUCCGCUAAUUUUUUUUUUUUUUUUGCAAGAGAACUAAAAUUACGGAGUUAUUAACUGCAUCUCAGGACUUUUUUUUUUUUUUUUUAACUAAGGGGGAAGGGGGCUAAGGAUUCCUAGGGUGAGUCAAUCCAUUUACAAAGACAAGACUCCUCCGUAAAGUCAAAAAUCGCACCCAACUUCAGUUUUUGCUCAUUCAGAGUUCUGACAGCAGGCUUAAGAAAACUUCCGUGCCACCCCCAAUUAUUACAAUGGAUUAUGAAUAAAGUCUCGAUUAGAACGAAUUAAAAUCAGAGCUAGAGGGAAGGCAAGCUUGUUAAGAAAACAGAGAAAAGGGAAACAAGAAACCAGGUGUUUUGCAAUCUUGGGAGCUUGCGAUCACACGGGGGCCAACAAUUAGACGCUCCUGCCUCGUCGCUUUCAGCGCAUGAAACAUACGCAUCCCCACAAACACGGCCCUCCAGCCGCCCAUGCUCACUCUUAGCGUUUUUCACUUAACCCCACAAUGUGAGCAUUUCUCCGUCUUUAAAACGUUCCCCAAAACGUGAUGUUUCGUGGCUUUGUGGCACUCCCGCCCUUGCUGUCGGCAGUUAGGGUGGCCUAGGAUUUCCCCACAGACGGUGCUGCGGCCGACACACCGGAGCCCGCCUCCGUCUGUGCACCUGACCCCGGCUCGCCCGUCGGAUGCACCCUCAGGCCGUGGGGGGGGCAUGUCCCGAGGGGGGCAGCGGGUCACCGCGGGCAUUUCUGCCGCUGAAAACCAGCCACGGAGCCACUCACAUGAUGGCCGAGAAGUCAUCAUCCACCAGGAUCACGUUGGCAGCCUCUUUGCUGACAUCUGUCCCUGUCUGCCCCAUGGCGAUCCCGAUGUCCGCAGACUUCAGGGCGACCGCGUCGUUCACCCCGUCCCCCGUCAUGGCCACGACUGCCCCCGACUCCUGCAAAGCCUUUGGAAAGAGGAGACUGGGAAACUGAGGCCUGGAGUUCGGGAACAAGAAUAAUGCCAGGGCGCUCGACUAACAGAGACUGCCUGCUUUUUAGUUUGCCCUCCGCACCACCCAAUUCCUGCUCCUGCUUUUGCUGUACGUGGCCAAGGACAGCCCGUUCUCCCCUCCCCGGGGGCUGGGCAAAGGCCCCUCCUGGUGCAGCCGUCCCCGGCCUAGAGAAAGAAGCACGGCUUGAGGACGGCCGACGCUCCUGCCAGCUUGGACCCAGGACCUCCCCCCGGGGACAGAGCCACCGCCCUGGACUGGCCCCAACGGACGGACGCAUGAGGCACACAGCUCACCUUUAUGAUUUUGAGCUUGUGCUUUGGGCUGGUCCUGAAGAAGACAGAAACCUGGACGCGGAGGUGGAGAAGAGUCCGUGAACUUGGGGCUGAACCCCCCCCCCCCCCGCCCCACCCCGCCGAGCCCCCUGGGAGGACCCCACCUUCCCGACACAGCCAGCCAGCUCGUCCUGCCCCGUGCUCUCCACCUCCUCCCCGGACAUGGCUUUCAGCUUCCCGUCGCACAGGCCAAUAGUCCUUCCUGCGAGGUGCGGAGAGUCUGCUCUGAGGGCCCGCUCCCGCCCCUCACUCCCCCUGCCUGACAUCAGGCCCCGCCUGGGCCGCAGACCACGAGCACAGCAGAGCCGCGACGGCUACCCCCCCACCGAGCACCUGCUACGCGACACGAUCCCAAUUCCAUCCACAGAACCAAGGCCUUAUUGUCCCUGCUUUAACGAUGAGGAAACGGAGGGGAGUGACCUCCCCCAGGUCCCAGAGCUGCCGAGCGGCGAUGCUGGGACCUGACGUGGUUUUGUCUGAUUCUAGAGUCUGAUUUUUUCACAGCGCCGGGUGCCUUGAGACAGAGCAGGGAGAACCAAUCACGAGCAGCCCCGCGGGAGGGGACCCCUCCCCGCCCGGCGCCCACUGCGCCCCACUCACCUAUAGCAGAGGCGGUCUCCAGAGCAUCUCCCGUUAUCAUCGUCACGGACACGCCCGACUGGCGGAGAACCUGCACCGCUUCCUUCACGCCGGCCCUCGGAGGGUCGAUGAUUCCAACGAGACCCAGAAAAGUCAGCCUCCCCAGCUCGGGUCCGGAAGCCAGGGCCAGCACUGAGGAGACACCGAGAGCCGUGGGAGGUCCCCCGCGGGCCCCAGGGGUAGGAGGACUCUCUCUGUGAGCUCGUCCCGGCCUUGACUCUGUUUCGGGAAAACCCAAGGCAACUGACACCGGGCCCCGGGCUUCUCACUUUCCCCGGAGGGAACCCACGGGUUCCAGAGCGCUUCUCUGAAAACGGACAGGCACUGUGGGAAACCCGAGUUUCCAGCUCAUCGGGGAAGGCGGCGUCCCCGAUGCAGGAGACUGGAAACGGCCGAGGAAUGAAAUGUCUGCCUUGAUGCGAAAGAGCUUUGGGUUUUCCUGACCGUGGGCGACGAGCAGGACGACCAAUCGGGAAAAUCAGCGUUUCUGGGGCGCCUCAGUCACGUGUCGGGAAACCCACAGGCGCCGCGUCUGGACUAACGGGUGUCACAUGGUGGCAGAGGAAUCUUUAACAUCAGCUAAGCCCAUCUGGGAAAAGCAAAUGCCACGCUUCUCGUGAGUCAUCCUGAGCCAGCCUCGCUGCAAAGCUCAGGCCGCCUCCGUUAUUCAUUCGUCAAACCAUUUCCGGCAGGGGCAGGGCCAGCUGGUCCUGGCGACAGCUUCUGGCCAAAACGUGCUCAGAAACAAAAGCCCAUGGGCUCCCCUCCAGGAGGAAUGUUCCAGACUCAAAGAGGCACCCAGGUGGCGGUCCUUUAUUUCAGCCACUGCGGGGAAACUAGCAAGGGCAUGACAGUGGAGAACUGGUUCAGAACCACUGACCUCGACCCUGAGACGGGUUUGAGGACAGACAUGAUAAACACAGAGCGCCGAGCACCGAGCCUGCCACACGGUCACAGGAGGCACUUCAUACAUGUCAGCUGUCACCAGGCUCCCCUACUGGUUCCGGCCCACAGAAGAGUAAAUCGUGACCCGUAAAGGAGAGGGGGUUCUGGAACAUCGGUCCUCUCUGGGCUGCACGGGAGGCAGGCAGCGGGAGCAGGGGUGGAGACCCCACACCGGGGUUCUCUCCUGCUGGGACAGUCAGGCCACUGUCCCCGUCCCGGACGGCAGCCUGCGGUUGAACAGGGCCAGCUGGGGCCCUUUCGGAAGAGGCAGUAAGGUCUAGUCGGUAUGACUGUCAUCCUGGAAAGAAUUUUCUUCCCUGAGUGUAACAGUUUCUUAACAUAGCUUGUUUACAGUUA
Molecule: long non-coding RNA, 8817 nt
Organism: Lynx canadensis (Canada lynx)
Lineage: Eukaryota; Metazoa; Chordata; Mammalia; Carnivora; Felidae
Exons: 11
Source: RefSeq, a predicted model, not a curated record